This 497-nucleotide ribosomal RNA is filed under the name uncultured bacterium. Its description in RNAcentral is "partial 16S ribosomal RNA". It matches the Rfam family "Bacterial small subunit ribosomal RNA", at positions 28 to 507 of the family's 1533-position model. The record is from RNAcentral.
GAUGAACGCUGGCGGCGUGCCUAAUACAUGCAAGUCGAGCGAACAGACGAGGAUCUUGCUCCUCUGACGUUAGCGGCGGACGGGCGAGUAACACGUGGAUAACCUACUUAUAAUUCUGGGAUAACUUCGGGAAACCGGAGCUUAUACCGUCUAAUAUAUUGAACCGCAUGGUUCAAUAGUGAAUGACGGUUGUGCUGUCACGUAUAGAUGGAUCCGCGCCGCAUUAGCUAGUUGUUAAGGUAACGGCCUACCAAGGCAACUAGUCGUAGCCGAUGUGAUCGGGUGAUCGCCCGCACUGGAACUGAGACACGGUCCAGACUCCUACGGGACGCAGCAGAAGGGAAUCUUCCGCAAUGGGCGAGAGCUUGACGGAACAACCGCGCGCGAGUGAUGGAGGUCCUCGGAUCGUAAAACUCUGUUAUUAGGGAUGAACAACUGUGUAAGUAACUAUGCACGUCUUGACGGUACCGAAUCAGAAAGCACCGGCUAACUACGUG